GCCUCACUGCGACGGACUAGUGUGAAGCCGGGUCGCAACCGGCAGGCAGCAGGGACAGCGGUCAAGUGUGGGUUCGAAUCCCGCGCGUUGCA
This 92-nucleotide transfer RNA is filed under the name Acidovorax phage ACF1. RNAcentral describes it as "tRNA-Ala". Lineage: Duplodnaviria; Heunggongvirae; Uroviricota; Caudoviricetes. The record is from RNAcentral.